This 466-nucleotide long non-coding RNA is filed under the name Falco tinnunculus (common kestrel). Its description in RNAcentral is "lncRNA (ENSFTIG00000001902.1)". Lineage: Eukaryota; Metazoa; Chordata; Aves; Falconiformes; Falconidae. The record is from RNAcentral.
UAAAAUCAUUGGAGAAAGGUGAAUCGCAUUGAAAUGCUGAGGCUCCAUGAGUGACAUGUGCAGCAAACUCUAUUUAGCAAGGACUGUAGGAGGGCAGCGAGAGAGAGAUGGAAGUUCAGGGCCUUGCAAGAUUGGAGAAGUUGGAGCUCACGGUGCCCUACAAAUGAAGACCUCUUACGCCUGGGAAGCUGAUGCCAGCCAGGGUGGGAAGGGCGAGAAGGCGGCGAGUGCUGUAUUGUGCUUCAGGGACCUAUGGCACAGCCAAGCAGCUUCCCAGCGUGGAGUCCUGCCCUCGGGACCUGUUGCUGCCCAGGCAGUGGGAAGGAAGUACGGCUCCUGUAAUUUGCAUCCAGAUAUCAGGAAGCGAUGCGUUAUGAGAACAUCUCAUCUACCGCCAGGGAUGAACCCGCAGAAAUCACUUAUACCAACAGAUUCACAGGUGUUGGCUUCUGUCACAAGAUGGUAG